GGUUGUGGCUCAAUGGUAGAGCACUUGCUUAGGAUGUGUGAGGCCCUGGGUUCGAUCCUCAUCACCA
Molecule: transfer RNA, 67 nt
Filed under: Marmota monax (woodchuck)
Lineage: Eukaryota; Metazoa; Chordata; Mammalia; Rodentia; Sciuridae
Description: tRNA.Pro
Source: RNAcentral